GAGUAGUUAGUUAAACAAUAACAUCACUUUGUCAAAGUGAAAUCACUAGUUAAACCCUGGUACUUCUCC
Molecule: transfer RNA, 69 nt
Filed under: Chalcorana labialis
Lineage: Eukaryota; Metazoa; Chordata; Amphibia; Anura; Ranidae
Description: tRNA-Asp
Rfam family: tRNA
About the family: Transfer RNA (tRNA) molecules are approximately 80 nucleotides in length. Their secondary structure includes four short double-helical elements and three loops (D, anti-codon, and T loops).
Source: RNAcentral